AACAGACGUCUGAUUGCUAUGCCAUCUUGGAAAUCAACCAAAGACAAGAUGAAAGUAAAAACACAUUCUCUUCCUAAUCCGUUUUUUCCCCCACCUAUAUUUUGUCAGGCCAGUGAACAUGGUGGUAAACUGUACUAUUUGUAUGGACCCUAGGUUACCCUUUCCCUUUGUUAUCAUACUAACUGUAUGUCGUAUAACCUUAAUUAGUGCUCCUGCUCACCUGAUGUACCAUGCCAGGUGUGUAUAAUACUGACGUUAAUGGGAGAGGGAAGAGGUUUUAAGGUGUGGUCUUUACUCCCAAAUUUCACUUAAAUAUAACUUCCAAAUGAAGAGAGACAAUGAUACAUAAAGUAAUCUGGGUGGAUGGUUCUUAAAAUAACCUUUGUGUUAGGGGGCUCUUAAAAGAGCAGUUUCACUCCACGGCAUAUUGCCAUGGAACUUCACCUGCUGGCGAUGAGAAGUAGGUGGUCAGCUUCUCCCUCACCUGGAGUGCCUGUCUGGGGGCGUUGUUGGCACCUGCCCUGGUGACAUCAGGCAGGUGACCAUUUGGUGUGCCCCUCUCCAUCCAGAGCGGCUCCUGGAAUGACCGCCGCAGAUCCUUACAGGCUUUGGCAAUGGCAGCUGGCGUCCAGCGUAGGGCCUCAUGAGGUUGGGUCUUAAAGGGAAGGCCUCGUCGCCGACGAAGACGUGGGGAACAGGUCCCAGGUCUUCAGCUCCAGGGAGUGAUGCUAGGUGGUGGAAUCUCCAGGGUGCCAUCCUGAAGUGCCUGGCCGAAGGCAGAGUCCCGGAGGGUCCCGCCAUCACUUCCCUUGCCAUAAGCACCAACAUUGACAACACAGAAAUAGUAGAUGGCAUCUACAACAGCCAAGAGUACAACUUAAUAUGUUACCUUGUUGUAGAAUUGCGAAGCUGAGCACGGUGGAGCCUGGAUUACUACAUGUUUCCCGUCAAUGGAGCCAAGACAGUUGGGGAAAUUCCACCUCUCCAGGAACUCAGCAGCGAUGGCCCUCCAGUCUUCCUCCUUGGGGACAGGCAUGUAUUCACCAACCAGACAGUCCCAAAUGGCUUGUGCCACAGAGGGGACAAUGCCUGUGGACCGUCCAACUCGGAAUCUGAAUCCAUUGGUCCUGUAGGAGUCCCCUGUCGCCAAGAAUCUAGAAUAUAAUUCCAAAUAAUUAUCAAUAUUGUGUGUAACUUCAAUUCCACCCACAUAUUAUAUCUACUCAGAUAGCUACCUCAUUACUGUUUAUUAUGCUCUACUAAUUAUAUUGUAAUACUCAUCAACCAUCAUUAACAAUGCCUUGAAACAGUACAAUUCAGUCUAUGACUAUAUCAUUAAACUGUAGCCCAGGCCAACUCUACUCUUAGAAAGAAUGGUACUAUCUACUUAAAAGGGUUCCCCGGCUGUCCCCAUAGGAGAUCCCUUUUUGGUUCCAGGUAGUACCCCUUUUGGUUCCAAGUAGAACCCUAUUGGGUUCCAUGUAUAACAUUUUCCCCAAAGGGUUAUACCUGGAACCAAAAAUGGAUAUCCCAUGGGGAAAGCAGAAGCACACUUUUGGAACCUUUUUCUCUAAGAGUGUAUGUGAGUCCAAUAAGAAUGUAAUGAAUGACUGUAACUGUCUUGAACAACAAUGGGUCCUGGAGAAGACUAGCCUACCUUCAUCAGGGCAGAAGGCACCUCAACUUUCUUUUCAUUUGGUAACAUUGCAUAAUUAAAAUGUCACGCCCUGACCAGGUGAACUCUUCUAUUUUGGUCAGGGUGUGGCAUUUCUAUAGUUUAUUUUCUAUGUUUUGGUAUAGCCUUGCUUUGGGGCGUAUUUCUAUGUUGGGUUCUGUAGAUUCCCAAUCAGAGACAGCUGUCGCUAGUUGCCUCUGAUUGGGGAAUCAUAUUUAAGUUCCUCUUCCCCCCACGAUGUUUGUGGGUUGUUGUCUCUUUCGUUG
This 1941-nucleotide long non-coding RNA is filed under the name Salmo salar (Atlantic salmon). RNAcentral describes it as "lncRNA (ENSSSAG00000120412.1)". Lineage: Eukaryota; Metazoa; Chordata; Actinopteri; Salmoniformes; Salmonidae. The record is from RNAcentral.